UGACUAGCCUAGGGAAUAAAUGCCAAAUUUUACAAACAUUUCUUCCACUUUUGUGCUUUUCUAAAAACAAACAAAAAAUCCACAACUAAAUAAACAAAAUUAAAACUCCACCUGCUUUGAUUAUUUUAUGUACUUCACACACCUCUCUCCAAAGCAAAAGGGAAAGCUAACUGAAAUCCGAAUCAUUAAAUCUGGGUUUUUCAUUAACAUUUCCCCCAACUAUUCUAGAAGCAAAGGAUACGUAAUAGAUAAACAAGAAGAAAAAUGCAUUUAAAACCUUAAGGGGACCCAGCACUCCAUCCAAGCUUAUCUAUGCAGCCUGCUCACAGGCUCCUGUAUACAGGCGCACUGUCAUGAAAUUAGCACUUCUACCCAG
Homo sapiens (human) is the source of this 376-nucleotide long non-coding RNA. Ensembl annotates it as ATP1B3 antisense RNA 1. Its record names the gene ATP1B3-AS1. The record is from Ensembl. Lineage: Eukaryota; Metazoa; Chordata; Mammalia; Primates; Hominidae.